This 427-nucleotide ribosomal RNA is filed under the name uncultured prokaryote. Its description in RNAcentral is "bacterial SSU rRNA". It matches the Rfam family "Bacterial small subunit ribosomal RNA", at positions 355 to 774 of the family's 1533-position model. The record is from RNAcentral.
CUAAGAAUAUUCCGCAAUGGACGAAAGUCUGACGGAGCGACGCCGCGUGGAUGAAGAAGGCCGCAAGGUUGUAAAAUCCUUUUGCUGGGGAAGAAUAAGUCCAGGAGGGAAUGCCUGGAUGAUGACAUGAACCGGCGAAUAAGCCCCGGCCAACUACGUGCCAGCAGCCGCGGUAACACGUAGGGGGCAAGCGUUGUGCGGAAUUACUGGGCGUAAAGGGCAUGUAGGCGGUUUAGUAAGCUUGGCGGGAAAGACCACAGCUCAACUGUGGGGGUGCGUUGGGGACUGCUGAACUUGAGUUAGGGAGAGGGAGCUAGAAUUCCUGGUGUAGGGGUGGAAUCUGUAGAGAUCAGGAAGAAUACCGAUGGCGAAGGCAAGCUUCUGGCCGAUAACUGACGCUGAGGUGCGAAAGUGUGGGGAUCAAACA